GGAUCUCAGUGCUGCUCAGUGUCUCUCUACGAUGGGAAAUGAAGGAGCAGGGGGAGCCUGCAGACAUUUGGGCCAUCAGCUGACACUGCAACAUUUCUGGCAGCACUCCGGCACACAAGGAUAUUAGUACCCCGGCCAGCUUGAAAGCUGCAGCCUCCAUCAGAUGGAGACGUGAUCCUAAGAGUGAAUGCCCCCCAGCUCACACUGGGAUGCCACUACAGCUGAACCUCGUGCAUUCCUGGCUCCACAUUGGAGUGGGUUCCUUGGUAACGUCCACACCGCAGAAGGACCUCGGCCCAACGUGACCCGGCCACCCGCUGAAUGUUUUCCUGUGUUGCUUCAGCUUGGACACUUGGAACUGUUUUGGAGCAGCGACGUAAACAGCACGAGCCCAGCCUUAAGGGAGUGCUGUGAAGAAAUGUAGGGCAGGUGCUCUUCUCCAUCAGAGGGGAGGUCACAGAGACCAGGGGUUGUCCUGCCCACAGGAGCCGGGGAACACAGGGGCAGCAGAGGUGCAGAGCACACAGCCACCCAGAUCCCAGCCCAAGCGCGAGGGCUGCUCUUGAGAAGUCGAACAAAACCACGGUGGAGAUUCCAGCACAAGCCCUGGGAGAGAUUGCCUGAGAUGGGGGCAGUGCUGGAGGGAGGCGCCCUGGGGCAGAGCUCCCUGUCUGUGCUUCUGCUUCUCCAGUCCACGCUGAUCUUUCCAGGAGAACUGGCACAGCGCCCCGACUCCGCAUCCCAUAAAUAAGGCUCAGCAUCAGCUGUCAUGUCAGCAGGAGACAAAACAUUUAAUGUGAAAGGCUUUAAAUGGAAGCAGGAAAUGAAAAGAUAAAGGGCAAAUUUUAUUUUAGAUUCCUUGUUGGUACAUAUUUUCCUCCCUGACAGUGAGGGGAUGCGAUGGCUUUAUCAGCCCACUGCUCAAGAACCUAUUUAUGGAACCCUCACGCUUUGCAAGAAAGUGGGAGCGAAUGCAGGUUGGAAGCAGAGCAGGGGAGGGAUGAACCCACUGUCCCCUCUUCCCUGAGUGGAUUGGGAGGCUGGGAAAAUUGCUGGUGCCAUAGAAACUAUCAGCACAGGCUGCAGGGAGCGGGCAGGAACACGGCAGCAACAGCAGCAUGAAGCCACCUUCCUUGCUGCCCAUGGACACAAGGUGGGCUGCCACAGCAAACAGCCCCCAGCACGUGCCAUCACACCAGACAGAAGAUUCUUUCCUAACCUCAAAAGCAUUUUGGUUGUAACUUAGCAACCCGUGUUGGGCGAAAGCAACAAGGAGGAAAGCAGGUACUGAGGAGAGCUGGAGCCCCACGCUCCCUUUAGUCGCAUACCUUAGCAACAGCUCAGUACCAGCAAGGAGGUUGGACGAGCAGGGCCGUCGCACAGCCAGCACCUCUCACUGCUGGGAAACUGCCCCUCUGUCAUCCAGACCUACACGGUGAGAUUAAUUAACGUUUCUUCCACCCAACAGCAGUGAGUCAGCCCUGCCCGUCACACAGUGGUGAUUCAGAGCUCCGUCGCUGUCUCACGGGUGGACUUUGAAGAAGUGGAGGCUCACAGUGCAUGCAUUGUGAGUCAGUGACACUCAGGUGAGAGAGGAAUCGAAAGCAGAGCCCAAGGACAAUUCCAAGGACUCGCCAAGGUUUGCCCACGUGUGCUCUACUCACCAGGCAACCUUGGAAACCUUGGGUAUCUGGUAAAUCAUCUGAAACGACUUCUAGCCUUCAUCCUCGAUAUCAAAAUCCUCCCUUUCAUAGCACUGUGUGAUGGCUUUGCUUGAAGAGCCUUAGCCCUUGGGACACCAGGAGGGAAGUGCUGUGCCCAGGGUCAGGCACCAGCCCGGGGCCAAGGGCAGGAAGGGAUGUGUGUCCACCCCACCUCUCCUAUGACACCUGCGACUUCACAUCACAUCCCCAGAAAAGGACCUCAGGAUCCUCAGGACCAUGACGACCCGAGGACGCAGCAGUGCUCAGGUCCUGCAGCAACUUCAAGGAGAACCAAACUUCAUGCAGAGGCUGCUGAUGUUGCACAGCCAAUGCACAAGAGAUCUGCCUGCAAAAAAACAUGGGGAACUCAUGAUGCUCCCUGUUCCCACAGCCUUACAGCUCUGUGCCAUUCCCCAUCUUGAACCAACGCUUUACGAAGGACCACAGGAAAACCCAUCAACCCACUGAGCUAAUAAUUGCAGUACCCCAAUCCUCAAAGCUGUCAAUCUCUUCAAAAUGCAGCUAAACGAGACAACUGCCUUCCACGCACUCCUUAAUGCCACCUAUUCCCAGAACACAGAUUGAAUUUGCAACUCAACACUUGAGCCUGCUGGCUAUUGAGAUCAGCGAGCGUCACAAGGAUCCAUGCUGUCUCAUUAGGCUGUCAUGCAGUCCCAUGCCAUUUUCAGGGUUAUACUUAGAACCCACCGUCUCCUUGGAGCAGGAUCUAUUUGAUCUGCGUGAGCAAAAGCAAUUGGAACAGCCUGCAACUCUUCCACAGAAAUAAAAGGUAACAAAUCACUCGUAAUAAAUUUAUUUUAUAUAUUGGUUUACAGAGCUAAACUGAACGGAUAAUAAACAGCACCAAGCCAGUGAGAUUUGUUCUACAAAACAAGUUUAAUACAAAAAAACAUGACUGUAAUGCUUAACUCCUCACUCUGUAUUUGGAUGGUUAAAAACAAUCGUAACUCAAAACCUGCAAACAGUUAAAAAAGGCUUAAUUACAUAGGCACUGGUGUUUGCGAAAGCUUCUGUAACAACAGUGGAGAUCUCAUCACAAUGCUUUAGAAGAAUCAAGGCCGCCCUCAGUUGAUUCCCUAUUUAGUGGUAAACGACUAGAAGGCCGUUCCUGAGUCUCCUCUCUUGCUCAAACACCUUACACGUGCGACCAAAAGCAACCUAUGGGCUAGGAGUGAACCCCCCACAGAACAGCUCUCGUGUGACUCCUCAGGCCUCCCUGCAGAAAGCUGCUCUCCCCACUCCCCCUGGCUGAUGAGCAGCACCAGGUAUCGCCAGGAGCCCCUGCCACCCUUCUGCAGCAGGAGGCACAGGUGGAACGACCCACCAAACACCCCGGGGGGGGAGGGGGGAGAUGCAGACUUCAUCCUGGGAUGCGGGCAGGGCGCCCACCCUGUGGGUGGCAUCGCUGAUCUGCAAACCUUGCAGGAGGGCUCUGGCUGCCAUCCUGAGCCCAGCUGCCCAGCAGAGCCUGGAAGGGAAGCUCUCCAUGCACUCAGCAUCAGAGCUGAAUGCAAAAAUCCACACUCUGCUCAUGAAGCUGCUAAACCCACCGCCGACACGCGCUGCCACUGGCUUCUCUCUGCAGGUUUUCUUAGCUUAGGCCAGAAAUGAAUUUGGUCCUCGCUGUCCCAGCGGCGUCCUGUCAGCGGUUUGAUGACACAGGGAAGAACAGAUUAACAGUAUUUUUGCCCAGUCUAAGCUGCCACACUCUGCAGAUAUUUUCUUUGAAGAAAACAAAACAAAUCAACACCCCCCAAAACAACAACAGUCCUACGCAGGACACAGAAACAAACUUAACUAGCUA
Long non-coding RNA from Tympanuchus pallidicinctus (lesser prairie-chicken), 3528 nucleotides. RefSeq lists it as uncharacterized. Lineage: Eukaryota; Metazoa; Chordata; Aves; Galliformes; Phasianidae. The transcript has 2 exons. The record is from RefSeq and is a predicted model, not a curated record.